This 1386-nucleotide long non-coding RNA is filed under the name Pan troglodytes (chimpanzee). RNAcentral's name for it is "lncRNA (ENSPTRG00000053369.1)". The record is from RNAcentral. Lineage: Eukaryota; Metazoa; Chordata; Mammalia; Primates; Hominidae.
GUAUAUGAAACAAGCUUUCAUUAGUUCCUAUGAAAACAUGUAAAAACAAUGGCUUUGUUUUCCCACAUUUUACUAAACACUCUACAGGUACACUUAGAACACAGUGGUUAAAAAUAUAGAACAGAAAAAAGUUAUUAAAAACAAGAAAAUGGGUGCAGAUCCACCUUGUGGCGUGAGAGAAUGUGUACACUUUCCAGUACAGGCAAUUUAUGUUAUAUACCUGUGUCCAAUCGGAGAUUUUUAGGGAGACAAUAUGAAGAAGCCCGAAAGGAAGUGUAUGGGACUCCCCAUUCUCUGCUCUGCGUACCAAGCAGGUGGGAGGAUUAUUCCAGCCUCUGUGAUCACACACAGAAGGAUGAGCCUUCCUCGUGAGGGUUGGAGAUGGAGGGAGAAGGGAUGGAGAGUAAGGAUGGGACGGAGGUUGUGGAGCAGAAGACCAACACGCCAGAAAGGAAAAUAAUGAUCAUCUCAAUUUUUAUAUGUGGAGGCAUUGCUUUUCUUCUUUGGGGGAUUUUAAGAUUUCCCAGAAAAUGUAAGUAAACAAUUUCUGCUAAAAUUAUUAAAUUAAACUGUUAAAAUUAUUGUAUUAUUGAUUCAGUUGGAUACCAAUAACUAGUCUUUCCUUCCUUAAUGUAGAACAAUUUAGAGAUAAAAGCAUUUUCCAAGACAGUGCAUCUAAUUGCUCUUCAAACUUAGUCACCUGCUUCACCUUCUAGAAUAAUCAGUCUUUCAAUAAAUAUGUAUCAAGCUUUAGGCACAGUGCUGCCUGCUGAUGAUACAACAAUGAAAAAAAAUGGUAUUUCUUGCCUGAAAGUAGUUUAUCUUUAACUGAAUAUGGAAGCAUGUAAGCAAACAACUGUAACACAAAAGAAAUAAUUACUAAAUAGAACUAUGUUGAAUUUGAAGCAGGAGAGGAGAUUAUAAGUUAGCUGCUUGUAGUCAAGGCUUUAAUGAAGGGAGAAAUAUUUGUGCUGAAUCUUAAACUCAAGUAGGCGUUUAUCAAAGAUCAUCUUAGAACACACAUGUCAGAGAAUCACGCCAGGUAUAAUUAUGAUGGAGUUACAAAGAAGUAGGGUGAGGGACUGGCAAUUGUAUUAUAGUUCCCUAGUGCAUUAACUCUUUCACUGCCAUUCAUUAGCAAUUUAUACCUUCUCCUUCAUCUCCAUUCUCCUCAUGCUCAUUCUCAUGUCUAUACCCUUGCUUCCAACUUGUUCUAAUUUUAACAAUUUGUAGGAAACUUCCAAAUGCUCCCAUCACCACACCAGCUUACUUACUCCAUCUCUGCCCCUACACUCUGCCUAGACUCCUGGAACUGUAGAUGCAGUAUUCAUGUUCUACAAUAGAUCCUAUAUUCUCUCACUGGAUCAGUAAUAUCACCCUAGUAAU